AAGGAAUAUUGGUCAAUGGACGCAAGUCUGAACCAGCCAUGCCGCGUGGAGGAUGAAGGUCCUCUGGAUUGUAAACUUCUUUUAUCUGGGAAGAAAUGUCGGUUUUCUAACUGGCUUGACGGUACCAGAUGAAUAAGCACCGGCUAACUCCGUGCCAGCAGCCGCGGUAAUACGGAGGGUGCAAGCGUUAUCCGGAUUCACUGGGUUUAAAGGGUGCGUAGGCGGAUUUUUAAGUCCGUGGUGAAAUCUCCGAGCUUAACUCGGAAACUGCCAUGGAUACUAUAAGUCUUGAAUGUUGUGGAGGUUUGCGGAAUAUGUCAUGUAGCGGUGAAAUGCUUAGAUAUGACAUAGAACACCGAUUGCGAAGGCAGCAGGCUACACAAAUAUUGACGCUGAGGCACGAAAGCGUGGGGAUCAAAC
RNAcentral lists this ribosomal RNA (420 nucleotides) under uncultured bacterium. Its description in RNAcentral is "bacterial SSU rRNA". It matches the Rfam family "Bacterial small subunit ribosomal RNA", at positions 356 to 773 of the family's 1533-position model. The record is from RNAcentral.